Molecule: long non-coding RNA, 405 nt
Organism: Amphiprion ocellaris (clown anemonefish)
Lineage: Eukaryota; Metazoa; Chordata; Actinopteri; Pomacentridae
Source: Ensembl
GGAAUGUGCUGCUCGUCAAAACUCCCGGAACUAGAGUACACACGCCGGUUUAUUGUGUAACUGACUCAUCUGUCCUCCGUGCAGCCUGCAGCAUGCCGACUUCUCCCGUGAAAACGCGGAUCCCCCUAACCAGCUUUGGUCACCUGAUCACAGAGGUGAAGAGCUGUGUGAUCCCCGCUCCCUGGUUGGACCACGACGGCAGAGGCGUGGCUGCAACCAGGAGUCCUGUGAUUGGUGCGGCGCUCACCAGGCUGACCAGCCGAAAACUGCCAACUCUUUUAAAAGAGUUAGCGCUUCAACUGAACGAGGCAGCUGACUUCCAGCGUGCCAUUCUGUGUUUCUGUGUGGUUGAGGCAAGAUUGUCUGUGUGGUUGGAAUUGGGCUAGGAUUAGUAUUACAAACUGA